This 77-nucleotide microRNA precursor is filed under the name Schistosoma mattheei. RNAcentral's name for it is "mir-3492 microRNA precursor family". It matches the Rfam family "mir-3492 microRNA precursor family". Lineage: Eukaryota; Metazoa; Platyhelminthes; Trematoda; Strigeidida; Schistosomatidae. The record is from Rfam by way of RNAcentral.
AGCUUCUUGAAUCUGUGCAGAGAUUUCGUCAGACUCCAACCCAUUAGGGCUCAUAGACUUCCAAGAUAAGUGAAGUU